AGCAGUAGCCACGGUAAUACGUAGGUGGCAAGCGUUGUCCGGAAUUAUUGGGCGUAAAGCGCGCGCAGGUGGUUUAAUAAGUCUGAUGUGAAAGCCCACGGCUCAACCGUGGAGGGUCAUUGGAAACUGUUAAACUUGAGUGCAGGAGAGAAAAGUGGAAUUCCUAGUGUAGCGGUGAAAUGCGUAGAGAUGUGGAGGAACACCAGUGGCGAAGGCGACUCUCUGGUCUGUAACUGACGCUGAGGAGCGAAAGCGUGGGGAGCGAACAGGAUUAGAUACCCCUGUAGUCCCUGUCUCUUAUAC
This 303-nucleotide ribosomal RNA is filed under the name uncultured bacterium. RNAcentral's name for it is "partial 16S ribosomal RNA". It matches the Rfam family "Bacterial small subunit ribosomal RNA", at positions 507 to 807 of the family's 1533-position model. The record is from RNAcentral.